This 117-nucleotide ribosomal RNA is filed under the name Salmo salar (Atlantic salmon). The record is from RNAcentral. Lineage: Eukaryota; Metazoa; Chordata; Actinopteri; Salmoniformes; Salmonidae.
GCCUACGGCCAUACCAGCCUGGGUCCGCCCGAUCUCGGCUGAUCUCGGAAGCUAAGCAGGGUCGGGCCUGGUUAGUACUGAUCGGAGACCGCCUGGGAAUACCAGGUGCUGUAAGCA